CCAUGUCGUGGGGGAUAACGUAGCGAAAGCUACGCUAAUACCGCAUACGCCCUGAGGGGGAAAGCGGGGGAUUCUUCGGAACCUCGCGCGAUUGGAGCGGCCGAUGUCGGAUUAGCUAGUAGGUGAGGUAAAGGCUCACCUAGGCGACGAUCUGUAGCUGGUCUGAGAGGAUGAUCAGCCACACUGGGACUGAGACACGGCCCAGACUCCUACGGGAGGCAGCAGUGGGGAAUUUUGGACAAUGGGCGCAAGCCUGAUCCAGCCAUGCCGCGUGCAGGAUGAAGGCCUUCGGGUUGUAAACUGCUUUUGUACGGAACGAAAAGGUGCCUUCUAAUAAAGGGCGCUCAUGACGGUACCGUAAGAAUAAGCACCGGCUAACUACGUGCCAGCAGCCGCGGUAAUACGUAGGGUGCGAGCGUUAAUCGGAAUUACUGGGCGUAAAGCGUGCGCAGGCGGUUUUGUAAGACAGAGGUGAAAUCCCCGGGCUCAACCUGGGAACUGCCUUUGUGACUGCAAGGCUGGAGUGCGGCAGAGGGGGGUGGAAUUCCUGGUGUAGCAGUGAAAUGCGUAGAUAUCAGGAGGAACACGGAUGGCGAAGCCAGCCCCCGGGGGCCUGAAUUGACGCUAAUGCAAGAAAAGCGUGGGGACACAAACAGGAUGAGAUACCCCUGGUAGUCCACGCCCUAAACGAUGUCGACUAGUCGUUCGGAGCAGCAAUGCACUGAGUGACGCAGCUAACGCGUGAAGUCGACCGCCUGGGGAGUACGCCCGCAAGGUUAAAACUCAAAGGAAUUGACGGGGACCCGCACAAGCGGUGGAUGAUGUGGAUUAAUUCGAUGCAACGCGAAAAACCUUACCUACCCUUGACAUGUC
This 873-nucleotide ribosomal RNA is filed under the name uncultured beta proteobacterium. Its description in RNAcentral is "bacterial SSU rRNA". It matches the Rfam family "Bacterial small subunit ribosomal RNA", at positions 129 to 990 of the family's 1533-position model. Lineage: Bacteria; Pseudomonadati; Pseudomonadota; Betaproteobacteria. The record is from RNAcentral.